AAGAUGGACGACGACGAUCUGGCGGCAUACAUCCUUGCCGGGCUUGACGCGGAGUGGAAUCCGCUCGUCACGUCCAUGACCACGUGGGCUGACACGGUCUCCCUCUCUGAGCUCUAUGCUCAUCUGCUGAAUUUCGAGA
Lolium rigidum is the source of this 139-nucleotide small nucleolar RNA. RefSeq annotates it as small nucleolar RNA Z247. The record is from RefSeq and is a predicted model, not a curated record. The transcript has a single exon. Lineage: Eukaryota; Viridiplantae; Streptophyta; Magnoliopsida; Poales; Poaceae.